RNAcentral lists this ribosomal RNA (253 nucleotides) under uncultured bacterium. Its description in RNAcentral is "partial 16S ribosomal RNA". It matches the Rfam family "Bacterial small subunit ribosomal RNA", at positions 524 to 776 of the family's 1533-position model. The record is from RNAcentral.
CACGUAGGGUGCGAGCGUUGUCCGGAAUUACUGGGCGUAAAGCGUGCGCAGGCCGCUAUGUAAGACAGAUGUGAAAUCCCCGGGCUUAACCUGGGAACUGCAUUUGUGACUGCAUGGCUAGAGUACGGCAGAGGGGGAUGGAAUUCCGCGUGUAGCAGUGAAAUGCGUAGAUAUGCGGAGGAACACCGAUGGCGAAGGCAAUCCCCUGGGCCAGUCCUGACGCUGAGCCGCGAAGGCGUGGGGAGCGAUCCGG